AGUCAUCAACCCCUUCCGUUUCGUGCGGAGAGGGUUGGAAGUGGGGGCUCUGCUGCCGUGAGGCGGCUCCCCUCAAAUGCAUCGGUUGGGCCUGUGGGUCGAACUCGACUGGGCGUUGUACCAUCCUCGCUUUACAGAGUCCGUUCCCCUUUCCGUGCCCUCCCCCGACCUGCCUGCUAGAGUGGCGGUCAAGCAACAAACUUUGAA
This 207-nucleotide unclassified non-coding RNA is filed under the name uncultured Trechispora. RNAcentral's name for it is "partial internal transcribed spacer 2". Lineage: Eukaryota; Fungi; Basidiomycota; Agaricomycetes; Polyporales; Polyporaceae. The record is from RNAcentral.